RNAcentral lists this ribosomal RNA (492 nucleotides) under uncultured bacterium. Its description in RNAcentral is "partial 16S ribosomal RNA". It matches the Rfam family "Bacterial small subunit ribosomal RNA", at positions 29 to 507 of the family's 1533-position model. The record is from RNAcentral.
AGUGAACGCUGGCGGUAGGCCUAACACAUGCAAGUCGAACGGCAGCACAGUAAGAGCUUGCUCUUACGGGUGGCGAGUGGCGGACGGGUGAGGAAUACAUCGGAAUCUACUUUUUCGUGGGGGCUAACGUAGGGAAACUUACGCUAAUACUGCAUACGACCUACGGGUGAAAGCAGGGGAUCUUCGGACCUUGCGCGAUUGAAUGAGCCGAUGUCGGAUUAGCUAGUUGGCGGGGUAAAGGCCCACCAAGGCGACGAUCCGUAGCUGGUCUGAGAGGAUGAUCAGCCACACUAGAACUGAGACACGGUCCAGACUCCUACGGGAGGCAGCAGUGGGGAAUAUUGGACAAUGGGCGCAAGCCUGAUCCAGCCAUACCGCGUGGGUGAAGAAGGCCUUCGGGUUGUAAAGCCCUUUUGUUGGGAAAGAAAAUCAGCAGGUUAAUACCCCGCUGUUCUGACGGUACCCAAAGAAUAAGCACCGGCUAACUUCGUG